AUUGAACGCUGGCGGCAUGCCUUACACAUGCAAGUCGAACGGUAACAGGUUAAGCUGACGAGUGGCGAACGGGUGAGUAAUGUAUCGGAACGUGCCCAGUCGUGGGGGAUAACUGCUCGAAAGAGCAGCUAAUACCGCAUACGACCUGAGGGUGAAAGCGGGGGAUCGCAAGACCUCGCGCGAUUGGAGCGGCCGAUAUCAGAUUAGGUAGUUGGUGAGGUAAAGGCUCACCAAGCCGACGAUCUGUAGCUGGUCUGAGAGGACGACCAGCCACACUGGGACUGAGACACGGCCCAGACGCCUACGGGAGGCAGCAGUGGGGAAUUUUGGACAAUGGGCGCAAGCCUGAUCCAGCCAUGCCGCGUGCGGGAAGAAGGCCUUCGGGUUGUAAACCGCUUUUGUCAGGGAAGAAAAGGUUCUGGCUAAUACCUGGGACUCAUGACGGUACCUGAAGAAUAAGCACCGGCUAACUACGUG
Molecule: ribosomal RNA, 477 nt
Filed under: uncultured bacterium
Lineage: Bacteria
Description: partial 16S ribosomal RNA
Rfam family: Bacterial small subunit ribosomal RNA
Source: RNAcentral